Molecule: unclassified non-coding RNA, 189 nt
Organism: Cricetulus griseus (Chinese hamster)
Lineage: Eukaryota; Metazoa; Chordata; Mammalia; Rodentia; Cricetidae
Gene: 7SK
Rfam family: 7SK RNA
About the family: 7SK was discovered as an abundant small nuclear RNA in the mid-70s but a possible function has only recently been suggested. Two independent studies have found that 7SK RNA binds the CDK9/cyclin T complex (known as elongation factor P-TEFb).
Source: Ensembl
GGAUGUGAGGGCGAUCUGGCUGCAACAUCUGUCACCCUCAUUGCUCCGUGUGUGUCUCUCCUGAAGCUGUGUGCUUGGUAGAAGAGAACGACCUUCCCUGAAUAGAGGAGGGCCAGAUUUGUGUGACAAUUUAAAUUGUCCUUUCCUGGUCUCAUCUUCUCGAACUAUUGCUACUUUUUGUGUUUUGUU